RNAcentral lists this ribosomal RNA (254 nucleotides) under uncultured bacterium. RNAcentral's name for it is "partial 16S ribosomal RNA". It matches the Rfam family "Bacterial small subunit ribosomal RNA", at positions 524 to 776 of the family's 1533-position model. The record is from RNAcentral.
UACGGGGGGAGCAAGCGUUGUUCGGAUUUACUGGGCGUAAAGGGCGCGUAGGCGGCCACGACAAGUCACUUGUGAAAUCUCCGGGCUUAACUCGGAACGGUCAAGUGAUACUGUCGAGCUAGAGUGCAGAAGGGGCAACUGGAAUUCUCGGUGUAGCGGUGAAAUGCGUAGAUAUCGAGAGGAACACCUGCGGCGAAGGCGGGUUGCUGGGCUGACACUGACGCUGAGGCGCGAAAGCCAGGGGAGCGAACGGG